GAAAAAAGGAAAACAGAAAAACUUUUUACGCCACUCGGUGAAAAGCUGCCACAUCCAGAUGUAUUAAAAACGUUGAGUAGUGACUUAAUGGACUUUCCUACAUUAAUAGAUAGUGACAUCUACAAUUAUUUUGUGCUGAAAAUGAACACACAAAAACAAUUGAGAUCAAAAAAUUGUAUUAUGUUUACAGACAUAAACACAGUAUUUUGUACCAUGACAUAAGUGACAAAUGGGAACAUUGUUUUGUUAAAUGCAAAGUAUUACCAUCACUACCGAGUGCAAAUGUGAAAGAAAACCCAGAUCACAGUGUGUGGCUCUGUCUGUCAAAGGUCACUGGACAGGUUCAUUCAGCGGAAUGUAAUUGCACAGCCGGGAGCGGAGAAGCAUGUAUCCAUAUUGGUGCAUUUAUGUAUGCCCUUUCUGAUCUCACUGCUAAAAAGAAGGACGGCACUCUAAGAUCAACCUCAAAAAAAUGCGUGUGGGACAGAUUUAAUAAUCCCCGGAAAAGAAAGCGAACGCCUAAAAAGUCUAGCGAAUUUACAUUUCGGAAACAUACCUUUGAGUCAAAAUUAGAGCCAGUCGAAAAUAACACCAGAAAAGAACUUCUUGCGAUUUCUGUAAAUGAGAACAGUUUCCGUUCAAAACUCGAAAAUAUGCAACCCAACAGCUGGAUGGCUUUUGAACUUUGUAGAAGAGAAGGAAGAGGUGAAAUUACCAAAGUUUAUAGAAAUUGGAUAUAACUUUAGUGAUAGCGUAGAUCUGAAUAGUGAAACUGUGAAGGAUAAAAUGUCGAAAAUGAUGGAUAUGCUACAAAUGGAUGAACUUGAAUGCCAAAGUAUUGAAAAAUUAACCAGAGGUCAGGGAAAGAACGUACUUUGGGAAGAUGAAAGAAAAUUACGUGUAACUGCAUCCAAUUUUGGUGAAGUAAUUUUACUGAAACAAGAGACUGAAAGAUUUAAAAGAAAUUGAGUGCAAUCUUUAAAGAAUAGUAACAAAUAUGAAUUUAAGAUCACAAUUGUGAAUUUCUCGCAAGCUUACCCUUGCUCCUAGAAUAUGUUUUUAUAAUUUUGAUGUCUCACUUUUCUCUAGAGAUUAACCCUUUACUUCUUAAAUAUGUAUUUUCAAGCUUUUGUAGUUCCUUAAAAAGUUAAAUGUAAUAAAGUACCUUUAUUACUAAAUUUAAGUUUUAAAGGCUUCAUUUCCAACCCUUAAAUACUGAUGAGCAGCAAACAGUAUAAAACCUGAACAGACUGCGAGUUACUAGCAUGCUGUUCUGGUUUUAUGCUGUUUUCACUGUGCUUCCAAGUGGAAUAGGGUUAAAUAACAAAAGUUAACGCCAGAUCAGAAAAUAAUUUAAGUAACAACAGUACAGGACAUCAUUGAGGUCCCUCCUUUUUUAUGUUUCAAUAGUCAUUUAGCUCUACAAAGCAUAUAAAUAUUGUACAUAAAAGUGUAUGAAUGUAUAAAUAUUUAUCAACUGUUCAUAUUAUGAAUUUUACAGUAGUACAUGUAGAAUGCUUUUCAACGAUUUGUGUACGGUUCAUUAAUACCAUCACAACGUGAUUGUCAAUUGUUAUUCCGCUAAAUUGAUUUGCUCUUAAAAUGAUAAAUCAUAAAAAGAACUUUUGCUAUGUUAUUAUCCAUCACUUAUUACCUUACCUGUGUUUGGAGAAAAACCGAAGGGUUUACGAUAAUAAUCUGUUUCAAAAUGUUAAAAUGAUAUGAAAUUAAUGAGUGGCAAGCAUGAACCAAAUUAAGAAAAUCAACACAGAGGUAUCAACAGCUGCAUCUUAUUAAAAAUCUGUGCACAAUGCUUUUUGUCCAAGUAUAGAUCAUUUCAGAACCCCAUUGAGUUAAUAGACACCUUGGAAGCUUUGCUGGUAUGACUUCUGCUUUACAUCUGACAAGUACUCUGCAGGUGUUGCUACUUGUAUCAGAAAUCUUGGUUUUAAACAAGAGCUGUCACCAUAGGAUGACUUAUGCCCCCUAUAUACGCUUGAUAGAAGUUAUGAGCAUUUUCCCAAACCUAAAUGCAUAUUUCGAAACCUAAACACGGACCCUAAGUUUAAGGUCAAGGUCACAGGGGUCAAAGUUUGUGUGCAUAUGGAAAGGCCUUGACCAUAUACACAUGCAUGCCAAAUAUGAAAAUGCUAUCUGAAGCGACAUAGAAGUUAUGAGCAUUUUUCGAAACCUAAACGCAAAGUGUGACGGACAGACCGACAGACAGUCCGAUCACUAUAGCGACAUAGAAGUUAUGAGCUUUUUUCGAAACCUAAAUGCAUAUUCGAAACCUAAACGCGGACCCUUAGUUUAAGGUCAAGGUCACAGGGGUCAAAAUUUGUGUGCGUAUGGAAAAGCUUUGUCCAUAUACACAUGCAUGCCAAAUAUGAAAUUGCUAUCCAAAGCGACAUAGCAGUUAUGAGGAUUUUUCGAAACCUAAACGCAAAGUGUGACGGACGGACAGACCGACAGACAGUCUGAUCACUAUAUGCCCUCCUUCGGGGGCAUAAAAAUUCUUGACGGGUUUAUUGCUCCCAAUUAUAAAUUAACUGUUGAUUAAGUCUUCAGUAGCAGUACUAAACCUUAAAGACAAACAUUUACUUAGGUAUACAAAAGAAAUCUGUGUUUUCAACGCUCUGUGUCAAUUAAUGUAUGUAAACUUGAAUCCAGUACAAUAUUUAUCAGAAUUUCAGUCUUAUAAUUUGUUUGGUCUUACAAAACUGCUUUCAAGCAAGAAAACAUGUAUAAAUAUAUUGGCACAAACACACAAACGCAGAAACACAAUUUUCUUUUUUUGCCUGAAAAUGUUUGUAUGGAAUAUGAGACAAGAAAAUAAUAAUCAGUAACAAUUUUAUUUUCACAAAUGAAAGCUGACUGUAAAAUGUGAAAUUAAGUAUUAUUCACAUAAUUACAUAGUAUAUUACUUAUACAUACAUGCAAUGGUCAAACACUUCUAGUUAAAUUGUAUACUGAAUUUCUCACAAAGUUCACUUGUUCAGCUUCUUAUCAAACUUAAUUUGUACUAGUUUUAAGGAGCCACUUUUCCAGUUUAUAUUAGCAUGACUAUUUUCAGUUUAUAAACACACUUUAUUUUCCGGGGACAGGUUUUUCGUGCUAACCCUGCUUUCAUUCCAACACUGACCUCAUCAAAUAAACACUCAAAAGUUCCAGCAGUUGGGAUACCAGUGUAGAACAACACCUUAUCGUCAUCAUCCCUUAUAUCCUCAAAGGUGAAGCUAGGCCGAUCCACUUGUAUCCCAACUGUCGACGUUUCAGUAGAAGUCUGGGUUGAUAUACUUCUGGGAACUCUCGUAUCGUCGGUUUGAGUAACCACAGAAAUCAGCUCCGGUUGCACUUGUUCACACUGAUGACGGAUUAUGGCGGGUACUGGUGUAAACCUUCCAUAGUCAUGGAGCUGAAAUAAAUAAAUACAUUUUUACAAGCAAAGUAAAUGCAGUUUGAAGUAAAGAUUAUAGGUCUUUCUGUAUUUUACUAAGGCAUCACCAAACUGAUAACUUCUUCAGUUUUUUUCUUUAAAAAUGGGAAGAGCAUGAAAAACAACUAUCUAUUUAUACUGCCAAGUGCCCUUUCGAGCAUGGUAGGCAGACAUGGACAUUAUCGAGUCGGUUUCCUGGGAAGAACCAGUACUUGGUGUCCAUGGAGGAGAUAAUUAGAAUGCUUCCCAAGUAAGGAGUGAACCCACUAACACCCGAUCGCUAGGCGGAUAUCUCAUCCACUACAACACCGCGACCUUGAACUACAAAUAUUUUUUUAUGUCCCCCACUAUAGAAGUGGGGGACAUAUUGUUUUUGCCCUGUCUGUUGGUUGGUCUGUUGGUUGGUUGGUUUGCGCCAACUUAAACAUUUUGCAAUAACUUUUGCUAUAUUGAAUAUAGCAACUUGAUAUUUGGCAUGCAUGAGUAUCUCAUGGAGCUGCACAUUUUGAGUGGUGAAAGGUCAGAGGUCAAAUAUAUGUGGCCUAAAUUGCUCAUUUUAUGAAUACUUUUGCAAUAUUGAAGAUAGCAACUCGAUAUUUGGCAUGCAUGUGUAUCUCAUGGAGCUGCACAUUUUGAGUGGUGAAAGGUCAAAGUCAAGGUCAUCCUUCAAGGUCAGAGGUAAAACAUAUUUGUCCCAAAUCGCUUAUUUUAUUAAUACUUUUGAAAUAUUGAAGAUAGCAACUUGAUAUUUGGCAUGCAUGUGUAUCUCAUGGAGCUGCACAAUUUGAGUGGUGAAAGGUCAAGGUCAUCCUUCAAGGUCAAGGUCAUCCUUAAAGGUCAAAUAUAUGGGUCAAAAUUGCUCAUGUAAUGUCACUUCUGCAAUAUUGAAGCUAGCAAUUUUAUAUUUGAAAUGCAUGUGUAUCUCAUGGAGCUGCACAUUUUGAGUGGUGAAGGGUCAAGGUCAUCCUUCAAGGUCAAACAUUAUUUAGGGGGACAUUGUGUUUCACAAACGCAUCUUGUUUCAAAUUAUCUUUAUUCAACAACAUUUUGUAUAACGAUAAAACAACUCACUCUUAGAGAUACGUCUAGUAGUGAUGCACUGCUUUCAACCAACAAACCAUCUGCCUCGUUCUCGAAACUCAAGUCUGGUGAACGGUUAUCUGACAUUUCCUCAGUUUCUGGUGUGGAAUUCGUCUCAUCUGCUUCAGGGCCAUUUUCCAGAGUCUGUAAGGUAAACAAAUAAAAUUAAAUCAGCACAUCAAAGACCUAGAAAUACACAUACUUUUUCAAACUAACAUGAAAGAAUGAUGUUCAGAUACGUAAUAUUUAUGCUUCUGUAUCAUGUUGUAAACACCGUCAGAUUCUAUACCGAUAGAGUAACUGACCCAUGUUCAUUCUUGAAACCUCGUAUAGCCUAGUGGCAACAUAUCCGCUUCAAAAUAUCAGAUACCAUUGGUUCGAUCCUCGGCUGUGAGCUACAUAAAAUAAAUCAUGAACUGUGCCAUGGGUAUGUCUGCCAUUAUCCCAUGCUUGAUUGUACCACAAGGAAUCACUGAUUUGAAUAGUAAGCUCGAUUUAAUAAUCCAUCGGAAUCGUUUUAAGGUGAUAAUCUGAUUACACGCAGUGCGCAAUCUGAUUAUGUGAUGACUUAAAUUAGUAUAAGUAUUAA
Dreissena polymorpha is the source of this 5105-nucleotide long non-coding RNA. RefSeq lists it as uncharacterized. Lineage: Eukaryota; Metazoa; Mollusca; Bivalvia; Myida; Dreissenidae. The record is from RefSeq and is a predicted model, not a curated record. The transcript has 3 exons.